Molecule: ribosomal RNA, 497 nt
Filed under: uncultured bacterium
Lineage: Bacteria
Description: partial 16S ribosomal RNA
Rfam family: Bacterial small subunit ribosomal RNA
Source: RNAcentral
GAUGAACGCUGGCGGCGUGCCUAAUACAUGCCAGUCGAGCGAACAGACGAGGAGCUUGCUCCUCUGACGUUAGCGGCGGACGGGUGAGUAACACGUGGAUAACCUACCUAUAAGACUGGGAUAACUUCGGGAAACCGGAGCUAAUACCGGAUAAUAUAUUGAGCCGCAUGGUUCAAUAGUGAAAGACGGUUUUGCUGUCACUUAUAGAUGGAUCCGCGCCGCAUUAGCUAGUUGGUAAGGUAACGGCUUACCAAGGCAACGAUGCGUAGCCGACCUGAGAGGGUGAUCGACCACACUGGAACUGAGACACGGUCCAGACUCCUACGGGAGGCAGCAGUAGGGAAUCUUCCGCAAUGGGCGAAAGCCUGACGGAGCAACGCCGCGUGAGUGAUGAAGGUCUUCGGAUCGUAAAACUCUGUUAUUAGGGAAGAACAAAUGUGUAAGUAACUAUGCACGUCUUGACGGUACCUAAUCAGAAAGCCACGGCUAACUACGUG